RNAcentral lists this transfer RNA (85 nucleotides) under Felis catus (domestic cat). It matches the Rfam family "tRNA". From Rfam's summary of the family: Transfer RNA (tRNA) molecules are approximately 80 nucleotides in length. The record is from Rfam by way of RNAcentral. Lineage: Eukaryota; Metazoa; Chordata; Mammalia; Carnivora; Felidae.
GCUUGGGUGGCUCAGUCGGUUGAGUGUCUGACUUCAACUCAGGUCAUGAUCUCAUGGUCUGUGAGUUCGAGCCCCACAUCAGGCU